UCUAACGAGGUGGCGGGGGCCGAGGUGAUGGGUUGGGGUGGUGCGUUGGCCGGAAUUGCUGGGCGGAAAGGGCUGGGAUGUGGGUUGUCGCGUCGUCUGUGAAAUUCCGGGGCUUAACUUCGGGCGUGCAGGCGAUACGGGCAUAACUUGAGUGCUGUAGGGGAGACUGGAAUUCCUGGUGUAGCGGUGGAAUGCGCAGAUAUCAGGAGGAACACCGAUGGCGAAGGCAGGUCUCUGGGCAGUAACUGACGCUGAGGAGCGAAAGCAUGGGGAGCGAACAGGAUUAGAUACCCGUGUAGC
This 300-nucleotide ribosomal RNA is filed under the name uncultured bacterium. RNAcentral's name for it is "bacterial SSU rRNA". The stretch from base 52 to 300 matches the Rfam family "Bacterial small subunit ribosomal RNA", at positions 547 to 794 of the family's 1533-position model. The record is from RNAcentral.